UACGAAGGGGGCUAGCGUUGCUCGGAAUCACUGGGCGUAAAGCGCACGUAGGCGGCUUUUUAAGUCAGGGGUGAAAUCCUGGAGCUCAACUCCAGAACUGCCUUUGAUACUGGGAAGCUUGAGUCCGGGAGAGGUGAGUGGAACUCCGAGUGUAGAGGUGAAAUUCGUAGAUAUUGGAAGAACACCAGUGGCGAAGGCGGUUCACUGGCCCGGUACUGACGCUGAGGCACGAAAGCGUGGGGAGCAAACAGG
This 252-nucleotide ribosomal RNA is filed under the name uncultured bacterium. RNAcentral's name for it is "partial 16S ribosomal RNA". It matches the Rfam family "Bacterial small subunit ribosomal RNA", at positions 524 to 776 of the family's 1533-position model. The record is from RNAcentral.